AGUGGCGGACGGGUGAGUAACACGUAAGAAUUUGCCUUUAGGAGGGGGACAACAACUAGAAAUGGUUGCUAAUACCCCAUAUGCUUUCGAGUGAAAUGGAUUUUUCCGCCUAGAGAGAAGCUUGCGGCUGAUUAGCUUGUUGGUGAGGUAAUGGCUCACCAAGGCGACGAUCAGUAUCUGGUUUGAGAGGACGAUCAGGCACACUGGAACUGAGACACGGUCCAGACUCCUACGGGAGGCAGCAGUGGGGAAUUUUCCGCAAUGGGCGAAAGCCUGACGGAGCAAUACCGCGUGAGGGAUGACGGCCUAUGGGUUGUAAACCUCUUUUUUCAGGGAGGAAUCAAUGACGUGUACCUGAAGAAUAAGCAUCGGCUAACUCCGUGCCAGCAGCCGCGGUAAGACGGAGGAUGCAAGUGUUAUCCGGAAUCACUGGGCGUAAAGCGUCUGUAGGUGGUCCAAUAAGUCAACUGUUAAAUCUUGAGGCUCAACCUCAAAAUCGCAGUCGAAACUAUUAGACUAGAGUAUAGUAGGGGUAAAGGGAAUUUCCAGUGGAGCGGUGAAAUGCGUAGAGAUUGGAAAGAACACCGAUGGCGAAGGCACUUUACUGGGCUAUUACUAACACUCAGAGACGAAAGCUAGGGUAGCAAAUGGGAUUAGAUACCCCAGUAGUCCUAGCCGUAAACAAUGGAUACUAGAUGUU
RNAcentral lists this ribosomal RNA (700 nucleotides) under uncultured bacterium. RNAcentral's name for it is "bacterial SSU rRNA". It matches the Rfam family "Bacterial small subunit ribosomal RNA", at positions 94 to 824 of the family's 1533-position model. The record is from RNAcentral.